UUGCGUAAAAUAUUAAUUCAUUUAUUGUUUAUUCCCUCAAAAUUUUAACAAUAAUGGAAUUCCCACUCAUAAAAUAUGCCAUAAGAAUACAUCCAUCAUGCAUUUGUUCACGUGGAUAAUACACCAGGAAAAAUUCCCAGGAAGAUGGUGGAGAUUAAAAAUCCCUCUCAGUAUCAAAGUUCCUUAGACUCAUGACCUUUUGUCAAAAUUUUCCUAGACAUGCAAUUUAUCCAUAUUACUACGCCAGGAUUAUUCUCAUUUAUUUUUCAAGUAGUUUUGUUAUGCUCCCACUGAAGCACAACUCUCUCAACGAUGUAUCAUCAUAUGCAAAAAAUAUUUUUUCAUAUUUUUAAUACUUACAUAAAGUAUUAUUAUCUAAUUUUAAAGUAUUUAUUUGACUAAAAUUGAAAUUAAAUAUAUAAAAAUGUUAUAAAUUAAUUUUUAAAUCACAGAAAAUAGAGAAUAAAAUAUUGAAAUGGUCUCCGCAAACGGCGCCUCAAAAUUCAAUCGGGAAGGUGGCGCGUGAAUUACACUCUCCACAGUAAAAUAGAGAAUAAAAUAUUGAAAUGGUCUCCGCAAAUGGCGUCUCUGCAAAUCACUGUUCAUCUUCUUCAACCUCACUUAUUUUCCAGAUUUCGAACUAGAAAUUUAAAUGCUCCGUUCUCUCUCAAUACACGUCGGAAGUUUGUAUGUGAUAUACCAUUGGAAAUAUUUUUUCAUGCUCUUUCUAAUGAUACUAAUUUUAUAUUCAUAUGUUAUGUAUCAUAAAAUAUAUGAGUAAAAUAAACCUACGGGUUCAUAUCCUAGGUUUUCAUUUUACUCAUUACAUGGAUCAAAUUAAUCCUCAUGGCAACUAGGAAUUAAUCUGUGCACCUUAAUAUGUUUGUUAAUCCAGUUGCAUGGAAUAAAAAAUAAGUAAAUUAUUACAUGCCAUUAAUAUGUGUUCUUGAUGGAAAAAUUAACUUUCUUAAAGAACAUUCUUGGGUAUCAUGCUUUGCAUGCUUAAAUAAGAACACAACCUAUUUAGCUCUGAUCCCAAUGUUGAUUUUUGAUCAAGAAUCAACAUAAAAACUUGUAAAUCUGAAUUCAAACACAUACCUAGAUUAUAUGCAGAAAACCGAUAAACCAAGGUUGUGCUACUGAUUUGUGGUCAGAGAAUGAUCACAAAGUCGGAAAAUCCUCUCAAUUCACGUUGUAAGAACCCUAUAAACUUCUCUUGACUUGAAUUUUCUCUAAACUGCACUUUUGCUUAUUCUUUGCUUUACUUCGCUUAACUUGUUUUCUCUAUGGAUUUGCCCUCUGUUUAUAGCAUUCCAUGGGUAGUGAUCAUCUUCUCAAUGAUCACUAAAUAAGUUUAAACAAUUGUUGGAGUGAUCAUCUUCUUAAUGAUCACUUAAUAUUUUUCAAUAAAAUAUUGUAAGAUAUUAUAGAGUUCUAACUCAAAAUGAUCACUUGCUCUUGGUCAUGCAUCCCUCAUGGGUUACCUCAAAGUGAUAGAACUCUAUAUAUGAAUAUAUAUUUACGUAUAUAUUUCCAACAAAACUUGUAAUGUAAAAUAAAAUCAUAAAACGGUAAGAAAGCAGAUUAAUAAAAGGUCUAUAGCAAGAAAGAAUGAAACAACCCACAUUGUCUUAUAGUCUUACGAAUGAGUAUUACAAAGCUUGAUAAAAUUUUUUAGUGGGAACUUUUGUUGAAUUUCUCCAAAAUCUCCUCUUUAAUUUCUUACUAAUUCACAAAAUCUGUACCUCCAAAAUAUUCUAUUUUAAAAUGCUGAGACGAACCUAGGCAUUUGAUUUAAGGGGGUUUAGUAUGAAUUUUACAGAAAAAAGUCAAUGAAUUUUGCACAAAAAAGGUCAACAAAUAACUAUUGUGGGAAAAGAGCAAAUUGAGAAGGAUAAACAACGUUGGGAUUAUUCCAUGGAUUGUGGAAGGGCUGGUAAGAUUUUGUAAGUGGGUAAGGAAUAUUUCAUCUAUUGAGCUAGCUUUUAGUUCUAAGAGAGGCCUAAGACCAUCUAGCACUGGUAUUAGAGCCUCGAUUCCAUAACAGCCUAAUAGGAAGAACAUGUGUCUAUACUUGUGACUCAAGGCUUGAUGUGUAAGGGAGAUAUUAUUGAAGUUAUCCCUCAUCGGUUGUGGAAUAUGCUGGUGGUGACUUUAUAUGUGUGGUGGAAAGCACCCAAUACCACAUAAUAAAUGUAUAGGAAUAAAACUGAUUGCUUCUUUAUAUGAAGCCAAAACAGUAAGUUUUAGUAGUCUAUUUACCAAAUAUAAUUUGGGCUUAGAUAAGAUAUAACUUUUUGAACAAAAAGUAGUGAUAUUUUAAUAUCUCUUACCAGCCCCACUUUUUCAAUUAAUGUCACUUAUUCCCACAAUUUCCUUGUUAAAUAAAAAUACUUAAAAAAAUUCUAGAAAUCCUAGCCAGCUUCCACCACCACUGUCACCAUUUCAAGUCAAACGCACCUCUAGCCCUUAGUCAUUAAUUGAUCCUAAAUUAAAUUCUUCAAUAGCUACUGACUAAAACCCCUUAUUUACUUGAAUUGAUUUUAGUGAUAUUCAUAUGAUAGUAUCAAAAUCAAAAUAGUAUCAAACAAAAAGAGGCAAAAUAUUAUUUUUAUAUAGGAAUCAAGAAAUUAUAAAUUAAUUGGAAUGAAUGAUAAGUAAUGAAAAUGGGUUAGAAAUAAACUGGCUGAGAUUGGAAUGAAUGACAAAGAAUAAUGGCUUAAGGUAGUGAUAAUAGCAGUGAAAGAUGGCUCGGCUUUUUGAAAUUUUUUUUAAUUUUAAUUUUAUCUUUUAAUAAGGAUAAUUUUAGAAAUAAGCGAUGUUAAAUGAAUAGUGGGGGUGAUAAGAGAAGUUGAGGAGGUCAAAUAUGAGCAUUUUAAAAAAAAAUUGGUGUAAUAAAAAAGAUUUUGAAGGCCUAUAAUUGGUUUACAAUAAAAUUUCUCUAUAAUGAUACUAUACUAUAUAUGAGAAUAACCUCUAUAUAGGCAUAAAAAAUUUCGAACGAAAUUUGAACUAGUUUUAAAUAAGAAUAAGCUCCAUAUUAUAACAAGUUAUAAAUUUUCAAGAUCUUGUCUUAAGGAACAUACCUCCACAUAAUAAUAAUUAUUUGUAGAUUUAAAAAAAUAUCUAUUAUGUUACAGUAAUGUUUGAAGAUAGAAUAAUUUUUUUUUGUAAAUUGUUUGGGAUAAUUAUUUAUUCUUUAGACUUUUAAGUUAAUUCCGCAUAUUCUCAAAAAAAGGUGGCUAACCUCAGUGAAACCUGGGUUCAGGCUCCGAUUGAAUUAAUUAUCUAGUUAAAAGUAAUUACCAAGUAAAAGAAAACAAAAAUUGAAAUAUGGUUAGGGUAAAAGUCUCCUCCACUACAAGAUCCUUAAAUGAAAUACUAGAUUGCAAUACUAUAGACUAUAAAGAUUUAGGUAACUAGUUUUUAAAUUAUGUCUAUUAUUAGUAAUAUCAAUACAUUAGAUUUGAAAUCAAUUAUCAGUUUAGCUUAUAUUACACCUUUAUAUCACUUGCACUAAAGGAUAACUAAGUCAAAAGGCUCAAAUCAAUAAUUUUAAAACUAAGCCUUUAUUUAAGUAAUAACCUCCUCAUAGUAAUAAAAUUAUCUUAAUGCUAAUAUUAUGACUAUAUAAAGGUUACUGUUACAUUUGAUGUCACCAUUAAUGUAAUUUUAUAGAGAAUUUCCACCCUACAAUUUGGUGUAAAUCUACCCUAAUUCAAAAAAUAAUUUAUAAAAAAUUCACAUCAUUUUUUAAAAUUUAAAGUAAAUAAAAAGUUUAAACAAUUAAUCAAUUAUAUCAUUUUCUUCAAAUACGUUUGUUGACCAUUUUAGAUCACUAACAUUGUUUUAACAUAACUAGUCCGACUAUUGAAGGGGCUAAAAUCUUUACCUUCACACGAACUUGUAGUUAUGGAGAACUUGACGAUGUUGGCGAGUACUUACAAAGGGCACUUUGACGCCCAAGUUAGUAUUUGUCUAGGGCCAAAUAAGAAGAAAGAAGAAGAAAAAAUUGAGAGAAGAUAAGUUUUUCCUUUGAAGUGGACAAUAUCCUUGUAAUGGCCAAAGGCUCCUUCUCUUAAGAUGGGCCUCUAUCUAUAGAAAACACAUGACAUGGAAGUAGGGUUUUAUUCUAAAUCCUAGAUUGAAAGUGUAUUUAUUUGGGGGAAUUUGUAUGUUAUUCCGUGCAUGUGCUUUUUCCGUCUUUCGCUUUUUCCUUCGAUCAUGGUUUACUUAGUGAUAAGUGUGGAACCAUAUUGAACCUAGGUCCCUCUUCUAAUCUUAUUUUCCUUUAUAAUUUACUUAGGAGAUCUAUUCUGAAUGUUGUUCUUGCUCAAAAUGAUCAUUCCUGAGUUGUUUUAGAUAGACACGUGGCAAGACGUGAUCCCUAGGGAAUUGGGUACCUAUACAACUCCCCCUUUAUGUGCAUUUUCUUUAGAAAAUACUUUCGCUAGGAUAAGAAGUUCUAACUUUUGUUUGAUUGGCCAUGUGACCUUUUUUAAAAAAAAAGUAACUAUGCUUUAGUGUUCGAAUAUAUUUCGGGAGGAUUAUUAUCAGUGAAAGUUUCCUCUCCGUUGACUUAGGGAAAUAUGAACUACAUUCUCUAAACUAAAGUUCAAAGAUGAAAUGUUAUUUCUUUGAAUUUUUCCUUUGAAUUAAAAUUUCAGGAGGAAAUGGUAAUUAUUAUUUGAAAUUUUCCCUUGAAUUGAACUUCCACGAGAAAAAUGAAUUAUUCUUUAAAUCAAUGGAACUGAUUCAUCUGAACUAAAGUUCCAGAAGGAAUUGCGUAUUGUUCUUCGAAUCAAUGUAAUCGAUUCCACUGAAAUUUUCUUCUAAACUAAAGUUCUAAGGGAGAGUGUUAGUUUUUGAAUUCUUUCUUUGAACUGAAGCUCUAGGAGGAAAUCUUAGUUUCCUAAACUUUUUUUCCUGAACUGAAGUUCUAAGAGAAAACACAAAUUUUCCUUAGAUAGUCUGAUUGGUCCGGGCAUAGUUUAUGGAAUUUUUGUUUGAAUUCUAGAAUUUUGGCAAGUAUAAAUUUUUUGCCUUGACUUAGCUUGACUUGUUUUGUUUUACCUUGUACAAGGUUAUGCUUUCCUUGGUUUGGCUUGCUCUUGUUGGCUCUAGCUUUUGCUUUUCUUGAUUUUUCCUAAGUUUUUCUAUACUAGCUUGCCAUUGGCCUCUUCUUGGUUUAGCUUGUUCUUAUGGUCUUGUCUUUUUUUUUUUUUUUGGUGGCUUUGCCUUGAUUUUUCCUUAGUCAUCGUUUGCAUUGCUUGACAUUGGCCUUUUCUUACCUUGGCUUGCUCCUGUAGCCUUAGCUUUUGUUUUCUUUGAUUUUUCCUUAGCUUUUGUUUGCAUUGCUUGGCAUUGGCCUUGGCUUGCCUUGAGUGCCUUUAAAGUGUUUGGAUGGUUGUUGCCUUGAAGAUCUCGAGUAAGCCAAUGGAUAUAGCUUUUAAUUCAGGAGGUCUUUUAUUUUGGACUUAGCUUUCAGUUCUAGAGGUAGCUUUUCCUUCCUUAUGGAUUUAACUUUUGGUUUCUUUUGAGUUUAGCUUUUGGUUUUGAAUGUCUACUCCUAUUCUGGGUGUAUCCAUUUUUAAGUUUAGAUUUUUUAUGUUUGAACACAUAGGUAGGUUCCCUUUCGUACUUGUAGUAUUACGGUUAUAAUGAUUUGUGAUUAGAAUUUCAAUCAUCUAAGAGCUUUGCUUGUGAAAUUUUUCCUUAUAAAAUGAGGUUGCUCCGACCUUAGAUAUUAUCAUUUAGAAAUAUUGCUAGUGGAAGUUUACUUAUGGAAUGUGGGUAGCCUUAGAUUUUAGAUAUACCAAAUAUUUAAUUAUGGGAUAUUACUCCCUCUUCAGAUGAGUAAUAAUUAGGCUAUUGUUGCAAUUGUUUAAAGAUAACUAUUUUCCAAACUAAAGUUCCAUGAGAAAUGGACAUAAUCUUGAAUCAAUAUAUGAAAGGAAUGAUCCAAAGAUGAACUUUAUUUAGGAACUUUUCCAAUUGAGUUGAUCUAAGGAAGUGAACUCUAAACUUUUCUCAGAAUUGAAGAGAAUGAAAUAUAAGUUUCCCUUUGAAUUGAUAGAAUCAAAUCAACUUAACUUUCCUAUAAAACUAAAAGUUCUAAGAGGAAAUGCUAACUAUUCUUUGAAUUUUUUCUUGGAAAUGAUGUUCCCAGAGAAAAUGAAAUUGCUCUUCGAAUUAGCAGAAUUGAUUCUAUAGAAUUUUCCUCUGAAUUGAACCAUAUCAGGAAGGGUUAUCUGUUCUUUGAAUUUUUUCUCUGAACUAAAGUUCUUAUGAGGAAAUGUUAGUUGUUCUUUGAACAUUUUCCUCAAAACCGAAGUUCCAAAAGGAAAUGAGAAUUGGUCUUUAAAUCAACAGAAUCGAUUCGACUCAACAUUUGAAUGAUAAUUGCUUUUCAAACUUCUUAUCUUGAAUUGAAGUUCGGCCAAACCCUAACUUGCUAUGUUGGGCGACCAGGUUAGCAUCACUAAUGUUUGGUGGAGCACCUACAUUUUGGUGCAUUCUUCUUUCUUUCCUUAGUCUUUCAUUCCAUCAUAUUCCUAAUAACUUAUCCUAUUAUAAAGUAAACUAAAUAUGAGUUGUUCUUUGAAAUGUUGAAUCGUUUCCCUUUGACUUUUCCUUUGAACUGAAGUUCUAAGCAGAAGUGUUGGUUGUUUUUUAAACUUUUCCUUUAAAUUGAAGUUCUAUGAGCAAACAUGAAUUGUUGUUUAAAUUGAUGGAGUCGAUUCUACUUAACAUUUCCCAUAAACUAAAGACCUACGUGGAAAUGUGAAUUGGUGAACUUUUUGUACAUGUUAACUUAAGAAAAAAGUGAACGAUUUUUCGAUCAAAGUUCUAGGAGAAUUUGAAUUGUUUUCUGAAUCAAUUUUUAAAAGAAUGAUUUUGAAGGAAUAUUAUUAGAUAACAUUUUCUCUUUAUUAACGUAGAGAAAACUGAACUAUUGUUGUUGAUUUUAACUCAAUUGCUAUUGGUGUCAAUGUACAAGUGUACACAACAAGUAAUAAAGUGAUGAGUAAUCAAGAUCGUCUCCACAUAGAUUGAUGCCACUAAAGUUGCUACAACAAUCUCAACAAUGCAAUCUCUUUUCUAAAUCAACUAAAGAGGAUUAAAAAGAUCAAUUAACUCAUAAAAAUAACAACUCGUCAACAUAAAAUGCAAGAACAAUAAAAAAAAAUUUUCACGUUAAACACAAAGUUGAAUCAAUGAACAUGUGGUAAUUGAGUGAUCAAACUCUCUUAAUGGGGUUGACCGUUUAGUUCAUAUCAAGUUCAGUUGCUAUAGCAUAUGCUACAACACUGGAUAGAAUUCUCAUUCAUCCUCAGUUGUAGCAUGUUGGACAUCUCAUACAUUUAUGCAUGACAUGACUUAAAAUUGUUUGAUUUACUCUCAAGUAUAAAGUGCCUAGUUAUAAUAUAUCUCGGUGAGUCCGAGGUCGAUCCACAGAGAAAGAAUUUAAUUUGUUUACUUAAGUUUAUCCAAACAAA
RNAcentral lists this long non-coding RNA (7499 nucleotides) under Citrus x clementina. Its description in RNAcentral is "Citrus clementina (C. clementina) long non-coding RNA (CCLE_LNC000950)". The record is from RNAcentral. Lineage: Eukaryota; Viridiplantae; Streptophyta; Magnoliopsida; Sapindales; Rutaceae.